This 497-nucleotide ribosomal RNA is filed under the name uncultured bacterium. Its description in RNAcentral is "partial 16S ribosomal RNA". It matches the Rfam family "Bacterial small subunit ribosomal RNA", at positions 28 to 507 of the family's 1533-position model. The record is from RNAcentral.
GAUGAACGCUGGCGGCGUGCCUAAUACAUGCAAGUCGAGCGAACGGACGAGAAGCUUGCUUCUCUGAUGUUAGCGGCUGACGGGUGAGUAACACGUGGAUAACCUACCUAUAAGACUGGGAUAACUUCGUGAAACCGGAGCUAAUACCGGAUGAUAUUUUGAACCGCAUGGUUCAAAAGUUAAAGACGGUCUUGCUGUCACUUAUAGAUGGAUCCGCGCUGCAUUAGCUAGUUGGUAAGGUAACGGCUUACCAAGGCAACGAUGCAUAGCCGACCUGAGAGGGUGAUCGGCCACACUGGAACUGAGACACGGUCCAGACUCCUACGGGAGGCAGCAGUAGGGAAUCUUCCGCAAUGGGCGAAAGCCUGACGGAGCCACGCCGCGUGAGUGAUGAAGGUCUUCGGAUCGUAAAACUCUGUUAUUAGGGAAGAACAUAUGUGUAAGUAACUGUGCACAUCUUGACGGUACCUAAUCAGAAAGCCACGGCUAACUACGUG